AGAAGUAAUAUUUAAAUUUUUGAAAUAUUAUGUUUGUUGAAAUAUAUAAGCCUGUGGUAUUGUUUUGGUUACGUUUUUGAUUAUACAUGGUAUUUGAAGGAGGUUUAAGAGGUUUGCAAAGGUUGAAGCUUUUUUAAAAAAAAUUCUUUAAAGAUAGCAUUGAGUCUAUAAAUAUUUGUUUUAACGGGAAAUAAAUAGUCUUAACUCCAGUAAUUAAUAUUGACUAAAUAUAGAAAUAUAGAGUAAGUAAUUAACUUUAGAAUGGAAUAAUAAAGUGCCAGCAUUCGCGGUCAGUCUUUAUUUUCGAAUCAAUAAAUUUGUAAAUCAGUUUAAUUAAAACAGAAAUAGAAGAUUAUUAAUGAGUUGGUAAAAUAUUUUCAUUUUUAGAAAGUUUAGAUGUUAUAAAAUUAAAUCUAAUAAGACUGUAUUAGAGACGGGGAUUAGAGACCCCCUUAUUUAUGUUAUUUAUCAAGUUUACGGGGACUACGAGCAAAUGUGCUUAAAACUCAAUCAAGUUGGCGGUACUUCAUAUCCAGUUAGGGGAACUUGGCGGUUAAAUUGAUAAUCCUCAAAAAUUUUACCCUUAAUUUUCUUUAUAUACCGCCGUUGUAAGUAGUCUUGGAUAGAAAAGAUUCUAGUGUUAGAUGAAUGAUAUAAAUUGUUUUGUUCAUAAUAAUUCAGGUAAACGUGUAGGUUUUAGGGGGCUUAGCUGAGUUACAAUUUAUAAUAAAAACGGAUUCUGAUAUGAAAAUUCAGUUAAAGGUGUACUUUUUAGUAAAAUUUUUUAUAGAGUAAAUUUGAAUAGAGCAAUUGAAGUGCGUACAAAUCGCCCGGCGCCCUUGAAUAAUUAAAAUUAAGGUAAGUCGUAACAUAGUAAUGCUAAUAGAAGUUGGUGUUAAA
RNAcentral lists this ribosomal RNA (900 nucleotides) under Dosinia altior. RNAcentral's name for it is "12S ribosomal RNA". Lineage: Eukaryota; Metazoa; Mollusca; Bivalvia; Venerida; Veneridae. The record is from RNAcentral.